Pelobates cultripes (western spadefoot toad) is the source of this 336-nucleotide non-coding RNA. Lineage: Eukaryota; Metazoa; Chordata; Amphibia; Anura; Pelobatidae. The record is from the annotation of a GenBank genome assembly.
CAGCGCUGGAAAUAAGGUUAGUUUUAUACUUUUAAAAGGGGAGCAAACCACCUAAAUGGUGGGUUAAACACUAUAGGGUCAGGAAUACAUGUUUGUGUUCCUGACCUUAUAGUGCUCCUUUAAGUAUUGUUGGGUCUGGGCGUGUGAGGAGAGGCAUGGAGUUUGCUGAAAUGUCCUGGGAAAUGUACAAUGGAGAGAUUCAUUAUUGUUAGUUCUGGGCGUGUGAGGAGAGGCCCUGGAGUUGGCUUAAAUGUCCUGGGAAAUGUACAAUGGAGAGAUUCAUUAUUGUUGGUUAUGAGGGUGUGAGGAGAGGCCCUGGAGUUUGGGGAAAUGUCC